ACAUUUCUGAACAUAUCAGAAAAUUUCGCGAUCACUUCACAAUCAUAAGUCAUAGAUCAUCAUCUCAUAGUCAAAUAUCAUCAUAAAGUCUAUUUCUUAGGUCAACGAGACCUUAAACAUGCAUUAGGAAGAAGUCGGGACUAAACUGAACACAUAUAAAAUUUUCCUAAAAUCUAACAUUUUUCGAAGUUUCAUAGGUCAGACACCCAUGUGGUCAGGCCGUGUGCCUCACACGACAUUAGACAGAUCGUGUGUCUAGGCCGUGGCAAAACAGGGCAUACAUACUGACUUGAUCACACGGCUAGUCACACGCCCGUGUGUCCAGGCCAUGUGGCACAAAAUUAGGCUUGGAUUAAGCCACAUUUCUUCUCCUACGCAUGCAUAUCUAAUCCACAUCAUUUUGUACCAUUUCAUGCAUACCUUAUCCAAAUCAUACACAUAAUCAUAUUUUCAACCAAUAAAUAUGCCUCAAAGCCAUUCAAUAUAUGCUUUAUAAAUACAUAAGUUGAAUCAUUUGCACAUCACCUUAAUGGUAUUUGAAUACCUAAUAAAAACCGAACAUUUUUCUUCAUCAUUCUAUACAUGCGCAUAUUAAACCAAAUAAAUCAUAUCACAUGGCUUUUUUGUCCAUUAGCAUAUACAACAUUAACAACUUCACAAAAUUGUCAAGUAUA
RNAcentral lists this long non-coding RNA (674 nucleotides) under Gossypium barbadense (sea-island cotton). RNAcentral describes it as "long non-coding RNA (GBAR_LNC018608)". Lineage: Eukaryota; Viridiplantae; Streptophyta; Magnoliopsida; Malvales; Malvaceae. The record is from RNAcentral.